GCUCAGCUGGUAAAGCACAAAGUUGUUAACCUUGUGGACAUGGGUUCAAUCCCCAU
Non-coding RNA from Triticum aestivum (bread wheat), 56 nucleotides. The record is from Rfam. Lineage: Eukaryota; Viridiplantae; Streptophyta; Magnoliopsida; Poales; Poaceae.